This 816-nucleotide ribosomal RNA is filed under the name uncultured bacterium. Its description in RNAcentral is "bacterial SSU rRNA". It matches the Rfam family "Bacterial small subunit ribosomal RNA", at positions 636 to 1451 of the family's 1533-position model. The record is from RNAcentral.
UNUGACUUGAGUGCAGAAGGGGAGAGUGGAAUUCCAUGUGUAGCGGUGAAAUGCGUAGAUAUAUGGAGGAACACCAGCGGCGAAAGCGGCUCUCUGGUCUGUCACUGACGCUGAGGCUCGAAAGCGUGGGUAGCGAACAGGAUUAGAUACCCUGGUAGUNCACGCCGUAAACGAUGAGUGCUAGGUGUUAGGCCCUUUCCGGGGCUUAGUGCCGGAGCUAACGCAAUAAGCACUCCGCCUGGGGAGUACGACCGCAAGGUUGAAACUCAAAGGAAUUGACGGGGGCCCGCACAAGCGGUGGAGCAUGUGGUUUAAUUCGAAGCAACGCGAAGAACCUUACCAGGUCUUGACAUCCCGAUGCUAUUCUUAGAGAUAGGAAGUUACUUCGGUACAUCGGAGACAGGUGGUGCAUGGUUGUCGUCAGCUCGUGUCGUGAGAUGUUGGGUUAAGUCCCGCAACGAGCGCAACCCUUAUUGUUAGUUGCCAUCAUUAAGUUGGGCACUCUAGCGAGACUGCCGGUAAUAAACCGGAGGAAGGUGGGGAUGACGUCAAAUCAUCAUGCCCCUUAUGACCUGGGCUACACACGUGCUACAAUGGUCGGUACAACGAGUUGCGAGCCGGUGACGGCAAGCUAAUCUCUGAAAGCCGAUCUCAGUUCGGAUUGGAGGCUGCAACUCGCCUCCAUGAAGUCGGAAUCGCUAGUAAUCGCGGAUCAGCACGCCGCGGUGAAUACGUUCCCGGGCCUUGUACACACCGCCCGUCACACCACGAGAGUUUGUAACACCCGAAGUCGGUGAGGUAACCUUUUAGGGNCCA